Molecule: transfer RNA, 74 nt
Filed under: Candidatus Levybacteria bacterium RIFCSPHIGHO2_02_FULL_40_29
Lineage: Bacteria; Candidatus Levyibacteriota
Also listed under: 5 other names
Description: tRNA-His
Rfam family: tRNA
About the family: Transfer RNA (tRNA) molecules are approximately 80 nucleotides in length. Their secondary structure includes four short double-helical elements and three loops (D, anti-codon, and T loops). Further hydrogen bonds mediate the characteristic L-shaped molecular structure. tRNAs have two regions of fundamental functional importance: the anti-codon, which is responsible for specific mRNA codon recognition, and the 3' end, to which the tRNAs corresponding amino acid is attached (by aminoacyl-tRNA synthetases). tRNAs cope with the degeneracy of the genetic code in two manners: having more than one tRNA (with a specific anti-codon) for a particular amino acid; and 'wobble' base-pairing, i.e. permitting non-standard base-pairing at the 3rd anti-codon position.
Source: RNAcentral
GUGGAUGUAGCUCAGUGGUAGAGCACCUGGUUGUGGUCCAGGCGGCCGCGGGUUCGAUCCCCGUCAUCCACCCA